Non-coding RNA from Theobroma cacao (cacao), 3271 nucleotides. The record is from RefSeq and is a predicted model, not a curated record. Lineage: Eukaryota; Viridiplantae; Streptophyta; Magnoliopsida; Malvales; Malvaceae.
UAUGCAGCAUAGCCAGCAAGCAUAUGAUGACUUGGAGCAACAUUGCUUUUUUACAAGACAUGAACAGAAACUGAGCAGUUCAUUGUCCCUCCCUUGGAGCUCAUGUGAGAGAAAACAAAUACUAACACUUCACUCUCACUCUCACUUUCUUUCUAAACACAAUCUACGACACAGGACUGUAAAUGUAUCAAUGGGACUAGAGAUGGAUUCGGACUUAGAGAAGAACUGCACAUUAGGUCUGAGUCCUAACACUGUUCUUCCAUCUCCUCGACAAUGUCCAAACAUUGAAAAGAGAUAUCCAAAAGGAAAACCAGGUCAUAAAGAUGAUUUAUUGAGGGCAAAGGAGGCAUUUACUGAAAUCAGCUUUCGUCGCUACCGCAGUGCUUCUUGUAAGAACAUUCAGUCUAGACCUGUUGGGCCAGAAGGUAAUGCUGAGCUGAAGCGAGGUUCCAUAUACCAAAGCUCCAAAGAGGUAAGGAAAAUGAAAAAAACAGGUUCUGUCGAGGGAAGGAGAAAAAUUGAAUUAUCGCGUAGUAGUGACAGCUCUUUUUCCUUCAGAAUUGUCGAUUCCCUUUGUAACUCAGAAGAGGAAAGCUCACAAGAAAGAAAUCCAGUGAUGUCCGGUGGCUCAAACUUGAAAUCAGCAUCCAUUACCAAACCAUGCUUAGAAACAUGCUCAUCAGAUGACUUCAUUGAAAUCUGUCUAAGUUCAAACAAGAGAGGAAAACAGUCUGUGGAAACUGUAGGGACAGAUAGCAAGAGGGACAUUAGUUUUGGAUGUGAACCUGUUGUCAGUGCUUUAGAUGACGGUAAUGACCUUGUUGGAAAAGACACAGUUAGCAAUCUGCAUAAGUCACACUCUCCUAAGGUCGAAGUGCCUCAUUCACCCUCUUCAUCAGAAAGUGAUUGGUUCUCCAAAGCCAGCUCAAGGGCCAGAUUUAGCCCAAUUAGAAAGAUGUUUGAUCCAUUCAUGAAAUCAAAGUCUCUGAGAAGUCCUUUGGGUUAUGUAGCAGAAGCUGAUAAUGUCAAAACUAUUGGGAUGGAAAAUAUGAGAAGAAAUAGGACAUUUAGAAAAUCUUUGUUACAUGACUUCUCGCAUUCACCUCAGAAUUCAGAAUUGGAUUCCCAGUUUAUCAAGAAAGAUAGCAUUCAGUCACCAGUGGCAAGCUCACCAGUUCACCUACAUGGUUGUCUGAAGGUGGGAGUAAAACAGGGGGUACCAUUUUUUGAGUUCUCAAUGAAUCAACCAGAAGAUGUUUUUCUUGCGAAAACAUGGAAGGCAGAUAAUGCUUUCAAUUGGGUGUAUACCUUUCACUCUAUUGGCAAUAGAAAGAAGAGCAAUGCCAGUAUAUGGGGGUUGAGUGAUAGUAGCAAAGAUUCUUCAAUUGUUGCGCAGAUGCAAGUUUCCUGUUGUUUGUGCUCAGAAAUUAAAGAUGGUGGGGUUCUUGACAACUCCAUGGUUACAGAGUUUGUUUUGUAUGAUAUUGCACAUGCAAGACAACAUGUUUCUGUCCUAGGAUCCUCUGGGUUUGAUAAAACCUCUACUUGUUCUAGUCCAGGCUUGGCUGUGGGAUGUUAUGAAUCAGAUGAUGGCUUUAAUUUGGUGAAGCUUAGAGAUCACUUAAAUCUUGCUUCUGACAGUGAUGAAUUUGAAUUGCCAAGUAGAUCAACUCCACGGCUACUUGCUGAUUUGCAUCGGAACCUUGAAAUUGCAGCCAUAGUUAUUCAAGUACCAUUUAAGAAGAGAGAGAGCUUAAAAUACAGAAGAGGGGAUAAAAUAGGUGAUGUGAGGCAUUUGAACGUACUCAAUGUCUCUACGGUUGAGGAAAGUAAAAGCAACAUACAAGAUAGCAGGAGUCAAGAAAAAGUGAAGGUGGUUAUUCCAACUGGAAACCAUGGCAUACCUAGUUCUGAGACCCAGGGUCCUUCAUCACUACUGGAUAGGUGGAGGAUGGGUGGAGGCUGUGAUUGUGGUGGCUGGGACAUGGCCUGUCCCCUUGUAGUUUUUGGCAAUCCCAGUAUAAAUUGUUCUGAAGAUCAACCCCUGGUGGACAGUGAGCGGCCUUUUGAACUGUUUCUUCAGGGUGCCAAAGAGAUUACACCAGCAUUGACCAUGACAGCCAUUGAGGGAGGGUAUGCAGUUGAUUUCCAUGCAAAGUUAUCCACAUUACAAGCAUUUUCCAUUUGUGUUGCUAUAUUGCAUGGUACAGAAACUUCCGCUGGUGCUGGGGAGGCACAAAGCAAACAUUUGUCCCACUGCAAUUCACUAAAAGUGCUUAUUGAGGAGGAAGUGAAAUUCUUAAUAGAAUCGGUCACGGGGGAGGAGAAGAAAGUCAGCAAGAAGGUGGAAGCAAUCCCACCAUCUUAUGUAAUUAACCCUCCGUUCUCUCCAAUUGCUCGCGUUUAGACUUGAAACAACUGGCUUGUUGAAUUUAAAAUGGCCUCCCCGUAGAACCUGUUGUGGUUUUUGGAGUGGCUGUCGCUGAAAGCAAGUGAAGGGGUGGAAAUGUUAGCUCUAAAAAUGGAGAAGGGUCCAACAUUCAGCCAUUUCAAUCGAGGGUUACUGUACAGGGAUAUCUAUAUUCAAUGGCACAGAUCCACAUCUUACUCGUACUUCUGCCAACUGUGAGAUAUCCACGCUGUGUUCUCAGAUUGUUUGUUGACUCGUCUGCCAGAUUUAACUGUUGCACUCACAGGACAUGUAAAAACUUUGUGGUGACCACUGCGCGGUACUUCUCAGGAGUCAGAACCAACUCUGUCAGUCUGUCUGCAGUGCAGACUUCAUCGUGUUGGAAUCACCAUGACUCAUUCCAGUAUAUUCAAGCACCGAAUGAAUGGCCCCAAGAUUGCUGAUGUACCCAGUUCCAUUAUCAUGUUGUAAAUGCCAGUGAAGCUGUGCAUUCAUCAAAGCUCCAUAGAUUCACUUCAAAGGAAAAAUGUUCCCAUGCGGAAAUGGACUUUUUGUCUUUUUCUCCCACCUCAUUGAAAGUGAAUGAUUGGAGUUAUUUAAAGACUGAAGACUAGUGCUGCUGAGAAUACAUGCAUACAUCAUGACACUGAAAAUCCUUAUUGUUUUGAGUCCUUUCCCUCCUGAAUACAGUGCAGGAUUACAAUCUAAAGGUUAUAAUUAGUGCAACCAUAUUUAAUGGCCAUGAUUCAAUGGCACCUAUGGGAGGUCAUUACAAAAGAUCCCAAUGUUCGAGAAUGGAGGAACGUGGGAACGUGUAAGCCUUAGCAAAAUAAAUGAGACGCCAUUGCCGGGGAUCAAACC